This is a long non-coding RNA of Camellia sinensis, 354 nucleotides long. RefSeq lists it as uncharacterized. Lineage: Eukaryota; Viridiplantae; Streptophyta; Magnoliopsida; Ericales; Theaceae. The record is from RefSeq and is a predicted model, not a curated record.
ACAAAAAAAAGAGAGAGGAACUUCACAUUGCUUUGGGCAACCCAUGAGUGAGAGAGAGAACCAAGAGAGGGAAGGAAGCAAUUUCAGCUCAAGAAGAAGGAAAACUAAGGAAAGAAAAGCUAGAAAAGAUGAGAAAUGGAAAGAGGAGCUCAAGGUUUGAAAGAGAAGAAGAAUUAUAAAACUUAAGGUGAUCAGGCGCGCGACCAGGCUUGGAGGCAUCUGCCUAGAAUCUGUUUUUGUCAGCCAGCCUAUGUGCCUCCCGUGGAGGUUCCGAAUAUGUCAAGUGAUUAUGGCCAUAUGAUUUAAAGUUUAAGUUUUGUUUUCGUGUUUGGUUGAACAAGUCUUGCGUAUUUU